This 685-nucleotide long non-coding RNA is filed under the name Ananas comosus (pineapple). RNAcentral's name for it is "long non-coding RNA (ACOM_LNC029651)". The record is from RNAcentral. Lineage: Eukaryota; Viridiplantae; Streptophyta; Magnoliopsida; Poales; Bromeliaceae.
UGAAGUUUAAAAAAGAAUAAUAAUAAAAUCUUAUUUUUUAUUAGUGGGCAUUCUAGUACUACAAAAUAUUUGUGUUGGAUUCUGUUGAUGCCAAAAUUAAAAUUAGGCGGGAACGGCUGAGAAGUGGGUGUAACUUUCACAAUCAUGGCUACACCACUCCCUCCACUACUAAAAACCGACCAAUAAUGUGGACUGAGAAGACAUCAUUAUAAAUAGUAACUUCAAAGCCUAUAAUAGGGGUUUUUCUCUUCCCUGAACGAGAAGACCACCGCAUUUUCAAUACUUACCUUUCUUGUAUUUAUCGUUUCCUAGGAAUAGUCUACAUGUAAUCUUUUUUACCCGCAUUUACUGCUUUUCUAGGAGUAGUUUUAAGUUUGAUCUCUGGAGUCUGUAUACCCCACGGGCACACUCUGUUGUAAUCUAGAUUUUCAGAGUCUGUAUGCCCUUUGGGCACAAUCUAUUUUGUAUGAGUUCCCAACUUCAUUUUAAUAUAUAAAGGCAUUCGGCUCUUUCAGCCGACCAGUCGCUAUGUAUUCCAUCCAUUCGGCUCAUCAGACCAACAGGAGCCUAGUUUGGGUCAGGUGCUUGGGCAAAUGACUCGGGUCCUACAAGUGUUUGACCAGAAUAGUCAUAGAUAUACUGCACGCUUGAAUGCAGUAUUAGCCGCAAUCACAGCUUCGAAUGA